AGGAUAAAUAAGAGACCCGGAGAAGGAGAGGUGUUGAGGCGUUGUGGGUUCCCCUAUGGGGAGGCUAUUUGAGCUGUUGGUUCUCCUGGAGGAGCUCAUCAUGACUAUCUUUCCCAGUGAGCUCAGGGCCUCCGUGUCACUGAGGAUGGCUGUGGUGCUUUUCAGGACAGCCCUGGUCUUUGUUUUGAGCAUGACUUCUCGGCUCCAGCAUAGAAAACUCAACCUGUCAGCACAGCUCCUUCACCUCCCUGGCAUAGACUUUCUAGCUUCCAUCCCUGACCUUUGGGCCUUCCCAGCACAGAUCUGUAAAGGAGACUGGCAUGAGUCCUUCUUUUGGGCUCUAGUUGGACUCGUGAGAGGCAUUGUCAUGAGCUCUGGGUCUUCAUGCAGGACAUUGCUGGGGGAUUCAGGCCCUUGGCUAAAUAUUCUAUGUCUUUAGUGUUGUGGAGAGAUUUCCUGCACUUUUUUUUGUGUGUUAACUCUGGGUGACCAUCAUAAAAUAAUAAAUUCCAUGUCCUGAUUCUAA
Cavia porcellus (domestic guinea pig) is the source of this 526-nucleotide long non-coding RNA. RefSeq lists it as uncharacterized. Lineage: Eukaryota; Metazoa; Chordata; Mammalia; Rodentia; Caviidae. The transcript is spliced from 2 exons. The record is from RefSeq and is a predicted model, not a curated record.